CCUACGGGUGGCAGCAGUGGGGAAUAUUGGACAAUGGGCGAAAGCCUGAUCCAGCCAUGCCGCGUGUGUGAAGAAGGCCUUCGGGUUGUAAAGCACUUUCAGUGGGGAAGAAAGCCUUGGGGCUAAUACCCUCGAGGAAGGACAUCACCCACAGAAGAAGCACCGGCUAACUCCGUGCCAGCAGCCGCGGUAAUACGGGGGUGCGAGCGUUAAUCGGAAUUACUGGGCGUAAAGCGCGCGUAGGCGGUCUGAUAAGCCGGUUGUGAAAGCCCCGGGCUCAACCUGGGAACGGCAUCCGGAACUGUCAGGCUAGAGUGCAGGAGAGGAAGGUAGAAUUCCCGGUGUAGCGGUGAAAUGCGUAGAGAUCGGGAGGAAUACCAGUGGCGAAGGCAGCCUACUGGACUGACACUGACGCUGAGGUGCGAAAGCGUGGGUAGCAAACAGGAUUAGAUACCCUAGUAGUC
Molecule: ribosomal RNA, 464 nt
Filed under: Vreelandella stevensii
Lineage: Bacteria; Pseudomonadati; Pseudomonadota; Gammaproteobacteria; Oceanospirillales; Halomonadaceae
Description: partial 16S ribosomal RNA
Rfam family: Bacterial small subunit ribosomal RNA
Source: RNAcentral